This 23-nucleotide ribosomal RNA is filed under the name Hemidesmus indicus. Its description in RNAcentral is "partial 18S ribosomal RNA". Lineage: Eukaryota; Viridiplantae; Streptophyta; Magnoliopsida; Gentianales; Apocynaceae. The record is from RNAcentral.
GCGACCGUGACUGCAGGAGGUCA